Long non-coding RNA from Felis catus (domestic cat), 970 nucleotides. RefSeq lists it as uncharacterized. The record is from RefSeq and is a predicted model, not a curated record. Lineage: Eukaryota; Metazoa; Chordata; Mammalia; Carnivora; Felidae. The transcript is spliced from 3 exons.
CUAUGGUAUCGCUCCUGCCCAGCUGUGUCCCAAAUCUCAAACUUGACUGUUGUGUCAUCUAGACAAACAGACUGGGUGAGGAAGGCCGCUGUGGAUGAGAGAAUGGAGGGGAAGAAGUUGAUUUCUGUUCCAGAGAGCUAAAAAGGCCAGCUCCACAAUCAGGUCUCUAGAUCUCCCUUCAAAAAGCCUCACUAACGCUGAACCUCCUCUUUCCCUGAGAGGGUCCCAGGUAGCUGACACUCAGUGGUAAGAAUGCGGAACAAUAAAAUAAAAAUUGCAUCGGAAGUGGAGUCUGCCCUACUACAUAAUCUCCAACUGCUAAGGGAGCUGAAAUGGAGAGACUGAAAAUGGUAUGAAGCAAGUUUAUUUCCCAUUACUUUUCCACCAGAUCUUCAAAUAGCAAAUUGAUCAAUUUUUAGUUGGCCCGAAGAACACCCAAAUCUACCCACAAGUACCGUAGACCCCCAGUUAUCUCCUUGGUAUCCCUGGUGCUGUCCUUCCCCUCACCCCCAUCUUUUUUCUAGCUUUCAAAAUGAGAGAUGCACUCUAGGGGUGUGGGAUGAGUCACCCCUCCCUAGGAGCAGAGGGGUAGCUUCUGGGCCCAUAUCCUUCAUACACAACCAGUCUUCUUGAUGUUUCUGAAACUCUAACCAGGGUCCAUUUGCCAGAAAAAUCUGUCCUUUAACAUUUCUGGUCAAAGGUGAGUAGAGAAAUAGACCAUAGACAACUAACAAACCACAUUCAGCAUCAACUUUCUUUUUGCUCCUGCCACCUCUCUGAGUCUGAGAAUCUACCAUGUCUAAGAAUCAGUAGGCUUAACCUCUCAACUUGCAGCUGUCUUCCUGGUGCCUAGGGAUUAGAUUACUCUCCACACUAAAUGGGCCUAACAGCUGUAGCCCUCCAAAUUUGAAGCAGAGAAAGGUGUACCUUUUGACACAAGCAGGAGUCUCCAGAGGAUGAUGCAGGGAUA